GUAUUACUUCCUCCGUCCGGAAAUACUUGUCCUUGAAAUGGAUAAAAUGGAUGUAUCUAUAAUUAAAAUAAGUCUAGAUACAACCAUUUCGAGGACUAAGUAUUUCCGGACGGAGGGAGUACUAC
Molecule: non-coding RNA, 125 nt
Organism: Triticum aestivum (bread wheat)
Lineage: Eukaryota; Viridiplantae; Streptophyta; Magnoliopsida; Poales; Poaceae
Source: Rfam